Non-coding RNA from Drosophila melanogaster (fruit fly), 2563 nucleotides. NCBI's taxonomy places the organism in Eukaryota, Metazoa, Arthropoda, Insecta, Diptera, Drosophilidae. The record is from Ensembl.
GGCCAGUCGUCAGUCAGUUGGCCAACAAACUGGUAGCGUCUGGUGUGGCGAGCCAACAAAAGGCUGGCAGAGCGGCCAACACCGGACCCGGCCCGAAACUGAAUCCGGGUCCGGGUCUGGGUCCGUGUCCGUGUCCGGGUUGGUUUCGCAGCAUCUACGGCAUCACGGCUGCCAAUUGAGCGGAGUUUGGGUCUCAAUUUGACGCGUAGCCAGCCAAGAAGAGUGGCCGGCCAACAACAAAAACAGGUGACGCAGGAUGUGGCCAACUGAGUAGGGAGAUGGCGGAAGAGCAGGAGGCGCAGGAGGAGGAGGAGGAGGAGGAGGAGGAGGAAACGCAGCACACUUUUUUGGCCACGGUCCGCGUUUGAUUAGCCAACUCAAACAUCAGGGCCAAGAUCAGGGCAAUUGACAGCUCUGCUCCCUCAGUUUCUGCUUCCGCUUGGCACACAGUCACAGAGACACACAUUGCCUUAUGGCCACUGGACGAUGGACCACAGUGGAGCCUGGGCAGUACGCAACACCUGACGCUGCCCGCCAGGAUACUCCCGUUCGUCUCGAUCAUACAGCAAAUAAGAAACAUUAAAUAAACAAUCAAAGAAACGGAGUAUUGCUCCGCAACUGCCAACAACAUUCAACGACAACCAGUUGCUCUGUGGUGCUAGAAAGUGAGUGUAAACAGUGUGUGCCUUUGUGAACUGAACUGACCAACGUGCCAAGAACGAAGGGACGAGGAGGUGGGCACUCUGGCUCGGACCCAAGCGAUUUGGCAGGAGCUGAUUGUUUCAUCUGGCCAGGCUUAAUGAAAUAACUCGUCCUGGCCGCGGCUCCAUGUCAAACGCAGCAGGGCAAUCGCCAGCGAAGCCCCAAAGGAUAAGCAUCGUCCAGAACAUCGGAAUCUCCAGCGAAGGAUGCACCAAAAACAUUAUCCACAGGACUAAGAUGCCAAAGGAAACUUUCAAGAUCCGUUUCCAAAACAAAACAUAAAAUAUAUUCAAUAAAAAUGAAGUGGAAAUGAAAUGAUACAUAAUAAAUACCCUAAUACAUAACAGAAACAAAAGCAAGUCACUAAACUUGACUGCAAAUAUAAUACGAUGACACUUAAUAGAAACAUUGUAAUAAAAUUGAAAAGAAGUAGACAAGAAUAACCACUCAUAAAACUAAAAUACCCAGCCUAUAACUAUUUUUCAAAUAGUUGGCAUAGUGCUUACUAUGAACCAUAAUCGCAUAUGAUAUAACCAAUAUUGAGCACUUAAUAUAGCCCAAUAUUAUAUAGACCCAAAUAUGAAAUAGUCACAAACAAUAGUGCAAUACAAUACGUUUAUAAAACAACGUCAAAAGUUUUAUAACGAAAAUAUAUUUCUUUAUAAUGAGCACUUUCGAACAACUACAUUUAAUAUAAAAUAGCGCGGGAAGUCUUCGGCGUGGUGAAAGUAUAAGGUGUAAGCACAGCUGAGAAGAAAGGAAUUUACAAAAUCGAAGGAAGAAGUGAAAGAAGGAGUGAAAAAACAUCUAAGCGCGGAAAAGUGCUACAAAAUGGGCAGGCGACAGUUCUGCGCAAUUUUCUCGGGCUUUUCUCUUUCGGUCUUGACGUUUUUAUCGCUUUUCUGCGCCUUUCGCCUUCGAUCUUCUGCCCGUCAAGUGUGUCCGAAAAUAGCAAGAUUUUCACUUACAUAAACCACAUCAAAGCCAUCACUCAAUUGCCACUUUCAGUCAUUUCGACCAUGUCCAAGAAUGAAUAAUGGAUGGGGAAAAUAAAGAGAAGCUGACAUCCUAAAGGAAACCUUGUUGGCCAAUUGGGGAGGAGGCCCAGAAGGUCGGGCCGAUUUUCCGCUGCAACCGACGAAGGUCUGACCAACCAAUCGCAACGCACAGCGGCGACGAAGCCCGGCCGAAUGGGAGCAUCUCGGGCAAACGGAGGGACAGUCAGCCGCCCUGCAAUGCAUUUCUUUUGGCAACGAGUCAAGCGGCCUUUCACACACACACACACACACAUUAGGAUUCCAUAAGGAUACUCUGCCUCGCUCACAUGCGCAUCGAGUGGUAUACGUAAUAUAUCAAGUAUACGCCUGUUGGCCGGGCAGAAAGUCUGUGAGUGUGUGCGAAUGGCCAAACAGAGUGUUGCCAACUGCAUUGCCGGGCUGCCAACGACUCAACCCCCGACCCGAGGACACCACCCUCCUCCCGGCCAGGAGGCCAACGACGAGUCCUUUUUGGAGGCAGCGCAUUGGCUGCAGGACGACCGGCGACAGGACGACCAAUCACCAAUCAAAUCGCGGCUUGUGCGCACUAUCACGGCCGUACGAAGGGCCAAAGGCACGGCAUCCAGGACCUCAGCCGGAGACCCCAAGCCGAUUGUCAAUCUCUUAGACAUAUUAUUAUGCCAACGUCUCCUAUAUUAUAGUUCUCUAGUCGUAAGUCACAUGCCCAAGCCAUCGCCCCAGAACAUCGGGGACAUGAAACAUUAGUUUUAUUGAUAGAGUUCUUAGUUUCGAGCAGAAGCUAUACGAUGAUGAUUUCAAGAAUGAGAAAACGGAAUAAAAACUGUAAAGCUUCAGAGCGGAAC